This 340-nucleotide unclassified non-coding RNA is filed under the name soil metagenome. Its description in RNAcentral is "partial contains 5.8S ribosomal RNA, internal transcribed spacer 2, and large subunit ribosomal RNA". The stretch from base 1 to 120 matches the Rfam family "5.8S ribosomal RNA", at positions 35 to 154 of the family's 154-position model. The record is from RNAcentral.
GAUGAAGAACGUAGCGAAAUGCGAUAAGUAGUGUGAAUUGCAGAAUUCAGUGAAUCAUCGAAUCUUUGAACGCACAUUGCGCCCCUUGGUAUUCCAUGGGGCAUGCCUGUUCGAGCGUCAUUUGUACCCUCAAGCUAUGCUUGGUGUUGGGUGUUUGUCCUCUCCUUUGCGAUUGGACUCGCCUUAAAGACAUUGGCGGCCAGUGUAUUGGUCUUGAAGCGCAGCACAUUUUGCGAUUCUUGCUGAUAAUCACUAGCGUCCAGUAAGCCUAUUUUAACACUUUUGACCUCGGAUCAGGUAGGGAUACCCGCUGAACUUAAGCAUAUCAAUAAGCGGAGGA